Molecule: long non-coding RNA, 214 nt
Organism: Camelus ferus (Wild Bactrian camel)
Lineage: Eukaryota; Metazoa; Chordata; Mammalia; Artiodactyla; Camelidae
Rfam family: DLG2 antisense RNA 1 conserved region 1
Source: Rfam
UCUACUUCAGUUUAAAAAAAAUGCUCUCCAAAGAGGUAUAGUGGAAACAUCCAGAUGUGGGAUUAUGAUUAAAAAUAGAAUCAAAACAGCCUCCCUUAGAAGAAGUAAAACUCUAGAUUCAAAGUUACUGGAUAGCUGAUAAUACAAGUAAAAAAUGCUAGCAUCUAUAAAUUUUGGGAAGUCUUGAGAUUUGAAUUUUAUCUUGACCACCUGA